UGGGGGAAUAUUGCACAAUGGGCGAAAGCCUGAUGCAGCAACGCCGCGUGAGUGAUGAAGGUCUUCGGAUUGUAAAGCUCUGUCUUUUGGGACGAUAAUGACGGUACCAAAGGAGGAAGCCACGGCUAACUACGUGCCAGCAGCCGCGGUAAUACGUAGGUGGCGAGCGUUGUCCGGAUUUACUGGGCGUAAAGGGUGCGUAGGCGGAUGUUUAAGUGAGAUGUGAAAUACCCGGGCUUAACUUGGGUGCUGCAUUUCAAACUGGAUAUCUAGAGUGCAGGAGAGGAGAAUGGAAUUCCUAGUGUAGCGGUGAAAUGCGUAGAGAUUAGGAAGAACACCAGUGGCGAAGGCGAUUCUCUGGACUGUAACUGACGCUGAGGCACGAAAGCGUGGGUAGCAAACAGGAUUAGAUACCCUGGUAGUCCACGCCGUAAACGAUGAGUACUAGGUGUAGGAGGUAUCGACCCCUUCUGUGCCGCAGUAAACACAUUAAGUACUCCGCCUGGGAAGUACGAUCGCAAGAUUAAAAC
RNAcentral lists this ribosomal RNA (530 nucleotides) under uncultured bacterium. RNAcentral describes it as "partial 16S ribosomal RNA". It matches the Rfam family "Bacterial small subunit ribosomal RNA", at positions 354 to 900 of the family's 1533-position model. The record is from RNAcentral.